RNAcentral lists this long non-coding RNA (169 nucleotides) under Numida meleagris (helmeted guineafowl). RNAcentral's name for it is "lncRNA (ENSNMEG00000015553.1)". The record is from RNAcentral. Lineage: Eukaryota; Metazoa; Chordata; Aves; Galliformes; Numididae.
CAGUUGCUGGCUGCUGCCUCUAUCUUCCCUAAAUAUUUCCCUUCCAACAGCUGGACGUCCCCCUCCUCCUUCCCCAGUCUUUCCUCAAGGGAUAAUGAAAUUUGACUGUCCUGCAGCCUGGGCAUUGUUUGGGAGCACGGCUGCCUGGGAUCAGUUGCUGCUUGUCAAU